AAUGAACGCUGGCGGCGUGCCUAACACAUGCAAGUCGAACGAGAAAGCCCGCAAGGGUGAGUACAGUGGCGCACGGGUGAGUAAUACAUAGGAAUCUGCCUCUGAGUGAAGAAUACCCUAGAGAAAUUUAGGUUAAUACUGCAUAAGCCCAGAAAUGGGGAAAGGUGGCCUCAAGCUACCGCUGAGAGAUGAGCCUAUGGCCUAUUAGCUAGUUGGUAGGGUAAAAGCCUACCAAGGCGAGGAUGGGUAGCCGGCCUGAGAGGGUGUACGGCCACACUGGAACUGAGACACGGUCCAGACUCCUACGGGAGGCAGCAGUGGGGAAUUUUGGACAAUGGGCGAAAGCCUGAUCCAGCAAUGCCGCGUGUGUGAAGAAGGCCUUCGGGUUGUAAAGCACUUUUGUCCGGAAAGAAAUGGCUCUGGUUAAUACCUGGGGUCGAUGACGGUACCGGAAGAAUAAGGACCGGCUAACUACGUGCCAGCCGCCGCAGUAA
Molecule: ribosomal RNA, 494 nt
Filed under: uncultured bacterium
Lineage: Bacteria
Description: partial 16S ribosomal RNA
Rfam family: Bacterial small subunit ribosomal RNA
Source: RNAcentral